This 71-nucleotide transfer RNA is filed under the name Limbodessus gemellus. RNAcentral's name for it is "tRNA-Val". Lineage: Eukaryota; Metazoa; Arthropoda; Insecta; Coleoptera; Dytiscidae. RNAcentral also lists the same sequence under 1 other name. The record is from RNAcentral.
CAAAUUAGAGCUUGGUUAGUAAAGUUUUUUACUUACAUUAAAAAGAAGUCGUGCAAUUCGAUUUAAUUUGA